UACGUAGGGCGCAAGCGUUGUCCGGAAUUAUUGGGCGUAAAGAGCUCGUAGGCGGUCUGUCGCGUCCGUUGUGAAAACUCGAGGCUCAACCUCGGGCUUGCAGUGGAUACGGGCAGACUAGAGUGCGGUAGGGGAGACUGGAAUUCCUGGUGUAGCGGUGGAAUGCGCAGAUAUCUGGAGGAACACCGGUGGCGAAGGCGGCAUCCUGGACCGGUAUUGACGCUGAGGCGCGAAAGCGUGGGGAGCAAACAGG
This 253-nucleotide ribosomal RNA is filed under the name uncultured bacterium. Its description in RNAcentral is "partial 16S ribosomal RNA". It matches the Rfam family "Bacterial small subunit ribosomal RNA", at positions 524 to 776 of the family's 1533-position model. The record is from RNAcentral.